This 253-nucleotide ribosomal RNA is filed under the name uncultured bacterium. RNAcentral describes it as "partial 16S ribosomal RNA". It matches the Rfam family "Bacterial small subunit ribosomal RNA", at positions 524 to 776 of the family's 1533-position model. The record is from RNAcentral.
UCCGAAGGGGGACAUCGUUGUUCGGAUUUACUGGGCGUAAAGCGCGUGUAGGCGGGUCGUUAAGUUGGGGGUGAACUCCCGGAGCUCAACUCCGGAACUGCCUACAAAACCGGCGACCUGGAGCAGAGGAGAGGCGAGUGGAAUUCCGAGUGUAGAGGUGAAAUUCGUAGAUAUUCGGAGGAACACCAGUGGCGAAGGCGACUCGCUGGACUCUUGCUGACGCUGAGACGCGAAAGCGUGGGGAGUAAACAGG